CGGUAUAUACCCAGCUUUCCCAACUCUAUCUUGAGGAUUCCCUAUUUCCCUUGCUCGAGGAAUCCUUAAUGGGCGUCAAACACGGACAAUUACUGCGGCAGCAAAUCAGGGAUUCAUAUUUGGAAUCAUCCUGUCUGGAACUAUGGUCGUAAAAGAAACAAAGAGAACGCUGCGGAUGGAUCAUUCUCCGGCAUCCGAGAAUAUGCAGGCGGAAGGGCGCUCGAUUCAUUUUUACAAAAACGUGCAGAAAACAUCAAGAAAUCUAGGACCAAUCCUCCGGGUUUUGCCCCUGUCGAAGGGUCUCUUCAAAAUAGCUCAGGGUCCAAUCGGUCUCCUUUGUCUACUGUUGAUCAUAAUUCACCCCUUGGAUUUGUUAUGGGAACCACAACCAAAGGUUGCAACGUAACUCCGAUGUAUACUUGGCACUCUAAUGGGAAUCAUGGUCAUGAUAUCAGCUCCCAUAUAACAAGCAUAGGUUCUGAACGUACCCCUGUUGGAAGCACUGGUCCUAACAAUGCUGCUGGCCAUGUGAAUGAUACACAAGAAAGAGAUACUCCGUAGUUGCCUUCCUCGCGCGCAAUUAGUGCAAAAUCAGAUCAUAUGAUUAUUCUCCUGCGGUGCUGUAAAUUGGAUGGAUUCAUUCUCGCACUCUCCGCUGAAGAACUCGCAGAAUAGAGGAUAUGUUGGGUUUUUCAUUGAAGGAUGCAUCUGACUAUGCACAAUUGUAUAUAUUUUACUGUUCCCGAAUGUAUGUUCCAUGUGCUGAUUAAAUGGUUUGUGAUUGAUACUUUGUAUGGUGUUGAUGCUUUCAGAUGGUGAGAAUUCAGAGCAUGUUGCUUUUGAUCUAUAGAAUGGAUAUUUAUCUUUGGGAACUCCUACUGUUAUACCCGAAUGUAUGUUCCAUGUGCUGAUUAAAUGGUUUGUGAUUGAUACUUUGUAUGGUGUUGAUGCUUUCAGAUGGUGAGAAUUCAGAGCAUGUUGCUUCUGAUCUAUAGAAUGGAUAUUUAUCUUUGGGAACUCCUACUGUUAUAUGUGGCAAAUGUGGUGCACUAAUGUGGAACAUGGAGAGAAACAACAAGUCAAAUAUGAAUUCCACUCCGACCUUUUCAAUCUGCUGCAAAGAUGGAGCUGUUGUGCUACCUAGGGAGGAGAAUGCACCAGAGCCUCUAUCAUCUCUCCUACACGGCAGUGAGCGUUCUGCAGGAUUCAGGCGAAACAUUCGAGUUUAUAACAGUAUGUUUGCAACGUGUUCUAGCGGUGGUAAGGAUGGCUUCAGGCCCUCCAAACUUAUUUAUUCUCUACCAUUGACAACUACACUAUAAAGCAACUACUCAUCCAGAUGUUGUGUAAAACCAUGUUGCUGUCGAGUCUUGCUUAUGCAUUUUCUUGCAGCAUCGAUUUGGCUUGUAGAGCUCCUGCCACUGGUGCCUCUUCAAGGUCAUCAAUUUCAGGUGGAUCAUAUGCCGCUUGCUGAUUGACCGGGAAUUCUGCUUCCUCGAGAAUCCGAGCUGAGCUGGCACAACCAAUCGUAAUGGCUAGCAACAAAAGGUACAUGUAGUUUUGAGUAUAUUUGAGCUGUGUAGCUGGACUUUGGCCAUUUUUUUCGUUUUACUAGGAAUUAAGAUGCACAUAUGCAAGUGAGGUUUGAGGGUCAGGAGACAUGAGUUUAUGAAUUUGAGGAUCUUAGUCUCUAAUAUUUGUAAUUUGUUGUGCAACACGAAAACAGAAAAGGACCUGAUCUCAUGGAGUUAUUGCUGCAUCAUUCACCCAGUAUUGCAAUGUGUGAUAUUGGGAAAAUACCAAUUUGAUAAUAAAAAAUUAUUAGUUAUGGAAUUCAUUCAUGUAGGAAUAUUUAAUCCGGGGAAACUAUAUGAGAAGAUUGGUUUUGAUAGAAAAAUUAUAUCAAGAGGAAAUUUGCAGAGCUUACACCUGAUAAGCAACAUUGAUAUACCAAGUUCAGGUUAGAAGUUAGCUCACCUAUAAGGUUUUUAAGUUGCCCAAGUUGGUUCUUGAACUUCUCUUUCCACUUGAUUAAAUUACAAUUGACAAAUAUUUAGCUUGCAGGACAGAUGAAGUAUAGUUGUUUGCUAUGACUACUCAGAAUGCAUACAAGCAAUUACAUGACAACGAAGCUCAUUCAAAACCGAUAACAGUAUGACAGUGAACUGCAUAUAUAUUAUUUUUAAUACUUCUGACUUGAGUUUCAGUUUCUUAUUGUCCUUCGAGCAUAUGCAUAAACUGAAGAAAGUUGCACAAGGCAGAGUUUGGACCGACAAUGAUGCUGCUUUGCGAGAUUUAGUUGAUGCUAUUGGUGGUCUCUCCUCUCCUGUGUUGCUGCUAUAGCAAAACAGAAGGUGAAGAUACUCCUGGACAAAAAGAUUUGAUUGGGUCAUCAUAAAAUAAUGUGGUCUUGGAAUUAUGUGUUUAUAGCCUAGAGCUGUCCUUAAAAGAGAUCUCACUUGAUAAGGAUAUCAGGUACUCGCUCUGCAGGGACCACAUGUUGCAAGCUGCCUGUUGCAGUAGACAUUUUAUAUUCAGAGUUUUGGAAGGGAACAGAAGAUAACACAGGUUAUAAGGCAGAAAUGGCAAUGAAAAAUGGAACCAAACUGGAGAAUAAAAGAGCAAGUCUUCAGAAUAACAAUGGCUUCAUUGUGAAUCCUUUGGCAGAAGUCCAUAGCAAUUGCCAGGGGAUAUCAAAGAUUGUCUAACUAUGAACUUAUCGUAGUUGGUUUUGCUCUUAGAUUCCAUCCUAAAGCCUUAAGAUCAACAUUGUAGAAUUUUGAUAUUUUAGCUUCAACUCCUUUUUGGACUUCAUUUUGGCAAUUACUUGCAGGCCAUAUUUUUUCGUGUUGGACUUAGUAGUGAUUUCAAAAAGUAAAAUCUUUGAAUUUUAUUUUAAGCUAGAUGGAAGAAUUCCUUUUUAUGUUUUAUAUCCAUUAUGCGGAAAAAA
RNA transcript from Daucus carota subsp. sativus, 2950 nucleotides. RefSeq lists it as uncharacterized. The record is from RefSeq and is a predicted model, not a curated record. The transcript is spliced from 13 exons. NCBI's taxonomy places the organism in Eukaryota, Viridiplantae, Streptophyta, Magnoliopsida, Apiales, Apiaceae.